ACGAACGCUGGCGGCGUGCUUAACACCUGCAAGUCGAACGCUGAAGCUCAGCUUUUGUUGGGUGGAUGAGUGGCGAACGGGUGAGUAACACGUGAGUAACCUGCCCCCUUCUUUGGGAUAACGCCCGGAAACGGGUGCUAAUACUGGAUAUUCACUGGUCUUCGCAUGGGGGUUGGUGGAAAGGGUUUUUCUGGUGGGGGAUGGGCUCGCGGCCUAUCAGCUUGUUGGUGGGGUGAUGGCCUACCAAGGCUUUGACGGGUAGCCGGCCUGAGAGGGUGACCGGUCACAUUGGGACUGAGAUACGGCCCAGACUCCUACGGGAGGCAGCAGUGGGGAAUAUUGCACAAUGGGCGCAAGCCUGAUGCAGCGACGCCGCGUGAGGGAUGGAGGCCUUCGGGUUGUGAACCUCUUUCGCUCAUGGUCAAGCCGCAACAAUGGUUGUGGUGAGGGUAGUGGGUAAAGAAGCGCCGGCUAACUACGUG
RNAcentral lists this ribosomal RNA (482 nucleotides) under uncultured bacterium. RNAcentral's name for it is "partial 16S ribosomal RNA". It matches the Rfam family "Bacterial small subunit ribosomal RNA", at positions 29 to 507 of the family's 1533-position model. The record is from RNAcentral.